Molecule: unclassified non-coding RNA, 332 nt
Filed under: soil metagenome
Description: partial contains 5.8S ribosomal RNA, internal transcribed spacer 2, and large subunit ribosomal RNA
Rfam family: 5.8S ribosomal RNA (bases 1-120)
Source: RNAcentral
GAUGAAGAACGCAGCGAAAUGCGAUAAGUAGUGUGAAUUGCAGAAUUCAGUGAAUCAUCGAAUCUUUGAACGCACAUUGCGCCCUUUGGUAUUCCUUAGGGCAUGCCUGUUCGAGCGUCAUUUAAACCUUCAAGCUCAGCUUGGUGUUGGGUGACUGUCCGCUUCACCGCGGACUCGCCUCAAAAUUAUUGGCGGCCGGUACAUUGGCUUCGAGCGCAGCAGAAACGCGAACUCGGGCCCGUCGUAUUGGCUCCCAGAAGCUAUCUUCACAAUUUUGACCUCGGAUCAGGUAAGGAUACCCGCUGAACUUAAGCAUAUCAAUAAGCGGAGGA